UGGUUCACGAGCUCCUCCCUGCUAGA
RNAcentral lists this non-coding RNA (26 nucleotides) under Mus musculus (house mouse). The record is from RNAcentral. Lineage: Eukaryota; Metazoa; Chordata; Mammalia; Rodentia; Muridae.